GACGAACGCUGGCGGCGUGCUUAACACAUGCAAGUCGAACGGAAAGGCCCUGCUUUUGUGGGGUGCUCGAGUGGCGAACGGGUGAGUAACACGUGAGUAACCUGCCCUUGACUUUGGGAUAACUUCAGGAAACUGGGGCUAAUACCGGAUAGGAGCUCCUGCAGCAUGGUGGGGGUUGGAAAGUUUCGGCGGUUGGGGAUGGACUCGCGGCUUAUCAGCUUGUUGGUGGGGUAGUGGCUUACCAAGGCUUUGACGGGUAGACGGCCUGAGAGGGUGACCGGCCACAUUGGGACUGAGAUACGGCCCAGACUCCUACGGGAGGCAGCAGUGGGGAAUAUUGCACAAUGGGCGGAAGCCUGAUGCAGCAACGCCGCGUGCGGGAUGACGGCCUUCGGGUUGUAAACCGCUUUCGCCUGUGACGAAGCGUGAGUGACGGUAAUGGGUAAAGAAGCACCGGCUAACUACGUG
Molecule: ribosomal RNA, 468 nt
Filed under: uncultured bacterium
Lineage: Bacteria
Description: partial 16S ribosomal RNA
Rfam family: Bacterial small subunit ribosomal RNA
Source: RNAcentral